Pan troglodytes (chimpanzee) is the source of this 2193-nucleotide long non-coding RNA. RefSeq lists it as uncharacterized. The transcript is spliced from 3 exons. The record is from RefSeq and is a predicted model, not a curated record. NCBI's taxonomy places the organism in Eukaryota, Metazoa, Chordata, Mammalia, Primates, Hominidae.
GCAGCAUGGCUGUGGGACAAGGGGCAAGACACAAGCAGACAAAUAAGACCAACUCAGCACACUUGAUUAGGCUGUGGUUUAAUAAAACAAAGCAACCACAACUAACCUGCACCAAACCUCUGAGAGACAGCAAAGUCCAUAAACUGUGAACCUUGCCAUUGUCAAAGGAUGUGGAAUUGUGGGAAAUACAAAAUACAUUGCUUACAAUUCUCUGACUGAUGAAGGACAUGCACUCAGAUGUCUUCAGAAUCAGAGAAUUAUGGAUGGUUGGAACUUGGGGGAGCCCUUGGAUUGUAUCUAUUUCAGCUUCCUCAUUUUUAAAGCUUGAUAAUCUGGGGGUCGGAAAGGGGAAAAUAGUUUGCCUAAGGUAAGAGUUCAAAUUACUGAUAGAGCUUAUAGCUGUGACUUCUAACCCAAAUAUUUUUCUUCUCUUGUGUUUUCAUAUGCGCUAAAAGUUUCACAUAGUUGUGUCCACUUUAGGAAACCCGGAAUUCAUUUAUUGCAUAUGAUGAAGUCAAGGUUGCUAAGUGAUAUACCAAGGAUACUCAAUUUUGUCCCUUUCCAGAAGGAACUACUAAGAUUAUGGUGAGCUGUAGGUUUCAGAUGUAUAUAAAACAAUAUAACAAUAUUAGGCCUUUCAUCUAGACUACAGUUUAUCAGCAGUUUCCUUUCUAGGACUCAGUCAUAGCUAUAGGCCCUACAGGGACUCUUCUGCAGUGCCUUCGCCUCCAGAUAUAUCCAAAGUUGUUUCUAGUGCAUCCUUAAAUUGCAGUGACUCAUAGCAACAAUUGUUUACUGAGCCCUCCUGACUGGCCAUGGGAUGACAGUAGUUAACAACAGGUCAGACAUGGUCUCUGUUGUCAUGGAGCUUAUGCCAAAGUGGCGAAUGACAGCCACUAAGCAUGUCUAUUACAAGUAUAAUUAAUUUAACAAGGAAGACAAAUUAGUCCUUCAUGUGUUCCAGAAGGCAAGGCCCCUAGUGUGGUUGGUCUGGUGGAGCUGAACUGCAAAACUGUGUGGAGAUGCUUAUGUGCUAGACACCAAUUGUUUUAUCCCUCCAGUGUAUCCCCUUUUUUCCUCUUAAGUCCAUGAUUUCUGAAGGAGUUGCUGUGUCUUACAUCAGUGCUUUUCAAACUACUUAAAAAUUUAAAUUUCUAAUCUGUCACAAAUUGACAUCCUGACAAAAUACAAAAUCACCUGCUUGAGUGUCACAGGCAUGUCAAAUUGUUAUAAAUGUUUAGAAAUAUUUAUUCUUGAUUUCGGUACCAGAACUCUUCAGGUGGGUAACACAUAGUUUGUGGGCCAGCUUGGUACACAGGCCCUACCUACUUUGAGUAGUAAUAUUGACCUUGAUCUUUCAGGCCCAGACUUUAUACCUGGUGCCCUUGACCAUGGCAAAUUAAUCCAGCAUGGGCAUCUGAGUCAAACUGGGCAGAUGAGACCCUUAUACAGAAUGUUUGUGCUGGACACAGAGAGCAUCAGGCCAGUCUCUCUCCAGGGGCUGAAAGUGUAAGAUGCUGUCCUUGGGAGUCCGUGGUUUCCUUCAGGUGGUGAGCUGCUGUAUAAUGGCAAGCAGAUGAAACCCAACAGUGAGGUAGAGAGCCCUGACAGUGUUUGAGCUCCUGACUCCAGCUUUUCCUAUGGUCCACAUACAUUCCUUCCUUAGGUUUCAGGUGCUAUCCCAGCACCAUUAUUAUUAUUAUUAUUUUUAAAUCCCUACCUGUUUGAACUAAUUCAGGUUGGGGUUCUGUUACUUGAAAUCAAGUGGUUCUAACUUAUGGAAGAUGGUUUCAUCAGUGUCUAGACAUGCUAACCUUUAAAGUCUUAUUGUUUUUGGAGAGUUUCCACCCCUCCAGGUUCGAAGUCAUGACCAGAGUGCUGCUGAAGCCCCUUGCAGAUGUGAGGGGACCUCUCAUGCCAAGUCUUAUGGCUGCAAAGACAUCGCAUUCCACAGUGUGGUGUCAGAGAAGAGCAGUCCUGGGAGAGAACUCUCUCCAGUCACCUUGGGAAGAUUUCCCUCUCCUACAACAGCUAACAUCAGUGGAGCUGCCAGCAUAUUCACUCUAAGGACACAACAAAAGGCACUAUCUUUGAAGAGCGUGAACCCUUACCAGAUGGAAUCUGCUGACACCUUGAUCUUGGACUUCCCAGCCUCCAGAACUGUGAGAAUAAAUUUCUGUUGUUUAUACAUUA